GCGAGCUGGGUUUAGAACGUCGUGAGACAGUUCGGUCCCUAUCUGCCGUGGACGUCUGAGAUUUGAGAGGGGCUGCUCCUAGUACGAGAGGACCGGAGUGGACGAACCUCUGGUGUUCCGGUUGUCACGCCAGUGGCAUUGCCGGGUAGCUAUGUUCGGGAAAGAUAACCGCUGAAAGCAUCUAAGCGGGAAACUUGCCUCAAGAUGAGAUCUAACUGGAACCUUGAGUUCCCUGAAGGGCCGUCGAAGACUACGACGUUGAUAGGUUGGGUGUGUAAGCGCUGUGAGGCGUUGAGCUAACCAAUACUAAUUGCCCGUGAGGCUUGACCAUAUAACACCCAAGCAAUUUGG
RNAcentral lists this ribosomal RNA (351 nucleotides) under Pseudomonas fluorescens. RNAcentral's name for it is "partial 23S ribosomal RNA". It matches the Rfam family "Bacterial large subunit ribosomal RNA", at positions 2600 to 2925 of the family's 2925-position model. Lineage: Bacteria; Pseudomonadati; Pseudomonadota; Gammaproteobacteria; Pseudomonadales; Pseudomonadaceae. The record is from RNAcentral.